GACGAACCGUGCGAACGUUGUUCGGAUUCACUGGGCUUAAAGGGCGCGUAGGCGGGCUUGCCAGUCAAGGGGUGAAACGUCCUCCGGCUCAACCGGAGCAGGGCCUUUGAUACUGCAAGUCUUGAGGGGAGGCAGGGGCAACUGGAACAAGCGGUGGAGCGGUGAAAUGCGUAGAUAUCGCUUGGAACGCCAAAGGUCGAAAACGAGGUUGACUG
Molecule: ribosomal RNA, 215 nt
Filed under: uncultured bacterium
Lineage: Bacteria
Description: partial 16S ribosomal RNA
Rfam family: Bacterial small subunit ribosomal RNA
Source: RNAcentral